RNAcentral lists this ribosomal RNA (305 nucleotides) under uncultured bacterium. RNAcentral describes it as "partial 16S ribosomal RNA". It matches the Rfam family "Bacterial small subunit ribosomal RNA", at positions 508 to 807 of the family's 1533-position model. The record is from RNAcentral.
ACAGCAGUCGCCGCGGGAAUACGUAGGGUGCAAGCGUUAAUCGGAAUUACUGGGCGUAAAGCGAGCGCAGACGGUUACUUAAGCAGGAUGUGAAAUCCCCGGGCUUAACCUGGGAACUGCGUUCUGAACUGGGUAGCUAGAGUAUGUCAGAGGGGGGUAGAAUUCCACGUGUAGCAGUGAAAUGCGUAGAGAUGUGGAGGAAUACCGAUGGCGAAGGCAGCCUCCUGGGAUAACACUGACGUUCAUGCCCGAAAGCGUGGGUAGCAAACAGGAUUAGAUACCCGCGUAGUCCCUGUCUCUUAUAC